Molecule: ribosomal RNA, 1191 nt
Filed under: uncultured bacterium
Lineage: Bacteria
Description: bacterial SSU rRNA
Rfam family: Bacterial small subunit ribosomal RNA
Source: RNAcentral
UCGAGUGGCGANCGGGUGAGUAANGCGUGGGUGAUCUGCCCUGCACUUCGGGAUAAGCCUGGGAAACUGGGUCUAAUACCGGAUAGGACGAUGGUUUGGAUGCCAUUGUGGAAAGUUUUUUCGGUGUGGGAUGAGCUCGCGGCCUAUCAGCUUGUUGGUGGGGUAAUGGCCUACCAAGGCGUCGACGGGUAGCCGGCCUGAGAGGGUGUACGGCCACAUUGGGACUGAGAUACGGCCCAGACUCCUACGGGAGGCAGCAGUGGGGAAUAUUGCACAAUGGGCGCAAGCCUGAUGCAGCGACGCCGCGUGGGGGAUGACGGCCUUCGGGUUGUAAACUCCUUUCGCUAGGGACGAAGCGUUUUUGUGACGGUACCUGGAGAAGAAGCACCGGCUAACUACGUGCCAGCAGCCGCGGUAAUACGUAGGGUGCGAGCGUUGUCCGGAAUUACUGGGCGUAAAGAGCUCGUAGGUGGUUUGUCGCGUCGUUUGUGUAAGCCCGCAGCUUAACUGCGGGACUGCAGGCGAUACGGGCAUAACUUGAGUGCUGUAGGGGAGACUGGAAUUCCUGGUGUAGCGGUGGAAUGCGCAAAUAUCAGGAGGAACACCGAUGGCGAAGGCAGGUCUCUGGGCAGUAACUGACGCUAAGGAGCGAAAGCAUGGGUAGCGAACAGGAUUAGAUACCCUGGUAGUCCAUGCCGUAAACGGUGGGCGCUAGGUGUGAGUCCCUUCCACGGGGUUCGUGCCGUAGCUAACGCAUUAAGCGCCCCGCCUGGGGAGUACGGCCGCAAGGCUAAAACUCAAAGGAAUUGACGGGGGCCCGCACAAGCGGCGGAGCAUGUGGAUUAAUUCGAUGCAACGCGAAGAACCUUACCUGGGCUUGACAUACACCAAAUCGCCGUAAAGAUACGGUUUCCCUUUGUGGUUGGUGUACAGGUGGUGCAUGGUUGUCGUCAGCUCGUGUCGUGAGAUGUUGGGUUAAGUCCCGCAACGAGCGCAACCCUUGUCUUAUGUUGCCAGCACGUUAUGGUGGGGGACUCGUGAAAAACUGCCGGGGUUAACUCGGAAGAAGGGGGGGAUGACGUCAAAUCAUCAUGCCCCUUAUGUCCAGGGCUUCCACCAUGCUACAAUGGUUCGGUACAACCCCCAUGCCAACCCUUUAAAGGGUGAGCGAAUCCCUUUUAAAACCCGGUC